Molecule: ribosomal RNA, 480 nt
Filed under: uncultured prokaryote
Description: bacterial SSU rRNA
Rfam family: Bacterial small subunit ribosomal RNA
Source: RNAcentral
AGUUUGAUCCUGGCUCAGGACGAACGCUGGCGGCAGGCUUAACACAUGCAAGUCGCACGAGAACGUUCUGACUUUGCCAGCACAAGUACAGUGGCGGACGGGUGCGUAUCGCGUAGAUAACCUGCCCUCAGGCGCGGGACAAUCACGGGAAACCGUGGCUAAUACCGCACGUCGUCUGGACCCCGCAUGGGGACCAGAUGAAAGCCUUCGGGCGCCUUUGGAUGGGUCUGCGUUGGAUUAGCUUGUUGGUGAGGUAACGGCUCACCAAGGCAACGAUCCAUAGCUGGUCUGAGAGGACGAUCAGCCACACUGGGACUGAGACACGGCCCAGACUCCUACGGGAGGCAGCAGUGGGGAAUAAUGCACAAUGGGGUCACCCCUGAUGCAGCCAUGCCGCGUGGAGGAAGACACCCCUAUGGGGCGUAAACUCCUUUUCUGAAUGAAGAAACCCCUGUAGGUUCAGGGCGUGACGGUAGUUCA